UAUAAUGGGUCAGCGACUUAUAUUCUGUAGCAAGGUUAACCGAAUAGGGGAGCCGGAGGGAAACCGAGUCUUAACCGGGCGUUAAGUUGCAGGGUAUAGACCCGAAACCCGGUGAUCUAGCCAUGGGCAGGUUGAAGGUUGGGUAACACUAACUGGAGGACCGAACCGACUAAUGUUGAAAAAUUAGCGGAUGACCUGUGGCUGGGGGUGAAAGGCCAAUCAAACCGGGAGAUAGCUGGUUCUCCCCGAAAGCUAUUUAGGUAGCGCCUCGUGAAUUCAUCUCCGGGGGUAGAGCACUGUUUCGGCUAGGGGGCCAUCCCGGCUUACCAACCCGAUGCAAACUGCGAAUACCGGAGAAUGUUAUCACGGGAGACACACGGCGGGUGCUAACGUCCGUCGUGAAGAGGGAAACAACCCAGACCGCCAGCUAAGGUCCCAAAGUCAUGGUUAAGUGGGAAACGAUGUGGGAAGGCCCAGACAGCCAGGAUGUUGGCUUAGAAGCAGCCAUCAUUUAAAGAAAGCGUAAUAGCUCACUGGUCGAGUCGGCCUGCGCGGAAGAUGUAACGGGGCUAAACCAUGCACCGAAGCUGCGGCAGCGACACUGUGUGUUGUUGGGUAGGGGAGCGUUCUGUAAGCCUGUGAAGGUGUGUCGUGAGGCAUGCUGGAGGUAUCAGAAGUGCGAAUGCUGACAUAAGUAACGAUAAAGCGGGUGAAAAGCCCGCUCGCCGGAAGACCAAGGGUUCCUGUCCAACGUUAAUCGGGGCAGGGUGAGUCGACCCCUAAGGCGAGGCCGAAAGGCGUAGUCGAUGGGAAACGGGUUAAUAUUCCCGUACUUGGUGUUACUGCGAAGGGGGGACGGAGAAGGCUAUGUUGGCCGGGCGACGGUUGUCCCGGUUUAAGCGUGUAGGUGUGUGUUCCAGGUAAAUCCGGUUCACUUUAACACUGAGGCGUGACGACGAGGCACUACGGUGCUGAAGCAACAAAUGCCCUGCUUCCAGGAAAAGCCUCUAAGCAUCAGGUAACAUCAAAUCGUACCCCAAACCGACACAGGUGGUCAGGUAGAGAAUACCAAGGCGCUUGAGAGAACUCGGGUGAAGGAACUAGGCAAAAUGGUGCCGUAACUUCGGGAGAAGGCACGCUGACACGUAGGUGAAGUGAUUUACUCAUGGAGCUGAAGUCAGUCGAAGAUACCAGCUGGCUGCAACUGUUUAUUAAAAACACAGCACUGUGCAAACACGAAAGUGGACGUAUACGGUGUGACGCCUGCCCGGUGCCGGAAGGUUAAUUGAUGGGGUCAGCGCAAGCGAAGCUCCUGAUCGAAGCCCCGGUAAACGGCGGCCGUAACUAUAACGGUCCUAAGGUAGCGAAAUUCCUUGUCGGGUAAGUUCCGACCUGCACGAAUGGCGUAAUGAUGGCCAGGCUGUCUCCACCCGAGACUCAGUGAAAUUGAACUCGCUGUGAAGAUGCAGUGUACCCGCGGCAAGACGGAAAGACCCCGUGAACCUUUACUAUAGCUUGACACUGAACAUUGAGCCUUGAUGUGUAGGAUAGGUGGGAGGCUUUGAAGUGUGGACGCCAGUCUGCAUGGAGCCGACCUUGAAAUACCACCCUUUAAUGUUUGAUGUUCUAACGUGGACCCGUUACCCGGGUUGCGGACAGUGUCUGGUGGGUAGUUUGACUGGGGCGGUCUCCUCCUAAAGAGUAACGGAGGAGCACGAAGGUUGGCUAAUCCUGGUCGGACAUCAGGAGGUUAGUGCAAUGGCAUAAGCCAGCUUGACUGCGAGCGUGACGGCGCGAGCAGGUGCGAAAGCAGGUCAUAGUGAUCCGGUGGUUCUGAAUGGAAGGGCCAUCGCUCAACGGAUAAAAGGUACUCCGGGGAUAACAGGCUGAUACCGCCCAAGAGUUCAUAUCGACGGCGGUGUUUGGCACCUCGAUGUCGGCUCAUCACAUCCUGGGGCUGAAGUAGGUCCCAAGGGUAUGGCUGUUCGCCAUUUAAAGUGGUACGCGAGCUGGGUUUAGAACGUCGUGAGACAGUUCGGUCCCUAUCUGCCGUGGGCGCUGGAGAACUGAGGGGGGCUGCUCCUAGUACGAGAGGACCGGAGUGGACGCAUCACUGGUGUUCGGGUUGUCAUGCCAAUGGCACUGCCCGGUAGCUAAAUGCGGAAGAGAUAAGUGCUGAAAGCAUCUAAGCACGAAACUUGCCCCGA
RNAcentral lists this ribosomal RNA (2207 nucleotides) under Salmonella enterica. RNAcentral's name for it is "partial 23S ribosomal RNA". It matches the Rfam family "Bacterial large subunit ribosomal RNA", at positions 611 to 2802 of the family's 2925-position model. Lineage: Bacteria; Pseudomonadati; Pseudomonadota; Gammaproteobacteria; Enterobacterales; Enterobacteriaceae. The record is from RNAcentral. RNAcentral also lists the same sequence under 1 other name.